Molecule: transfer RNA, 72 nt
Filed under: Hyloxalus awa
Lineage: Eukaryota; Metazoa; Chordata; Amphibia; Anura; Dendrobatidae
Also listed under: 1 other name
Description: tRNA-Ile
Source: RNAcentral
GGAAGUGUGCCUGAAGAUUAUAGGGCCUCCUUGAUAGGGAGAACCAUAGGGACUUGUACCCCCUCACUUCCU